ACCAGAGGUAGCAAGAAUGUUUGUUCCACUGUGUGAAAAUGCAGAGUUUACUGUAAAAAAGAAAAUGAAUCUUAUGUCAGAUGACAAAAGAAAUUAUUGCAUAGAAGUGACCAGAGGUUUGGUUUGAAAUUUUGGCCUUCAUUUUGGUGUGCUGCUUAAGAGAGGUCUGGUACGUCAUCAACUGCAAGACUGUGAACUGUACAAAGUAUAAUUUUACAAACUGGACAGCCAACAGUACUGGAGCCAGAUGCUGUUAACCCAUGCCGGAACUGAUCUGGCUGGCACUAGGACCACACAGUCUUGUGCACCAACCCCCGAGAUACUGGGGUUCAGUAACCUGCCAAAAGACUGAAGACUGAAGGAGCCCAGAACUGGAUCACCAACUUUCCAGCUGUUAGACCUCAUGAGCUACACCAACCAUAAAGUUUUUAAUCAUUGAACUAUAUUUGGACAGCUGUGUUGACUGUGAUAUGAUUUUAACUGUUC
This is a long non-coding RNA of Oreochromis niloticus (Nile tilapia), 486 nucleotides long. RefSeq lists it as uncharacterized. The transcript has 3 exons. Lineage: Eukaryota; Metazoa; Chordata; Actinopteri; Cichliformes; Cichlidae. The record is from RefSeq and is a predicted model, not a curated record.